This 1123-nucleotide ribosomal RNA is filed under the name uncultured bacterium. RNAcentral describes it as "bacterial SSU rRNA". It matches the Rfam family "Bacterial small subunit ribosomal RNA", at positions 47 to 1162 of the family's 1533-position model. The record is from RNAcentral.
AUUGAUUUUAUGCUUGCAUAAAUGAUUUUUGGAUUCGGAGCGAGUGGCGAACUGGUGAGUAACACGUGGGUAACCUGCCCUGAAGCGGGGGAUAACAUUUGGAAACAAGUGCUAAUACCGCAUAAUUAGUUGGAACCGCAUGGUUCCAACUUGAAAGAUGGCUCUGCUAUCACUUUGGGAUGGACCCGCGCCGUAUUAGUUAGUUGGUGAGAUAAAAGCCCACCAAGACGAUGAUACGUAGCCGACCUGAGAGGGUAAUCGGCCACAUUGGGACUGAGACACGGCCCAGACUCCUACGGGAGGCAGCAGUAGGGAAUCUUCCACAAUGGACGAAAGUCUGAUGGAGCAACGCCGCGUGAGCGAUGAAGGUUUUCGGAUCGUAAAACUCUGUUGUUAAAGAAGAACAAGUGUUAGAGUAACUGUUAACACUUUGACGGUAUUUAACCGGAAAGCCACGGCUAACUACGUGCCAGCAGCCGCGGUAAUACGUAGGUGGCAAGCGUUGUCCGGAUUUAUUGGGCGUAAAGCGAGCGCAGGCGGUUUUGUAAGUCUGCUGUGAAAGCCCUCAGCUCAACUGGGGAAGUGCAGUGGAAACUACAAAACUUGAGUACAGAAGAGGAAAGUGGAACUCCAUGUGUGGCGGUGAAAUGCGUAGAUAUAUGGAAGAACACCAGUGGCGAAGGCGGCUUUCUGGUCUGUUACUGACGCUGAGGCUCGAAAGCAUGGGUAGCGAACAGGAUUAGAUACCCUGGUAGUCCAUGCCGUAAACGAUGAAUACUAGGUGUUGGAGGGUUUCCGCCCUUCAGUGCCGCAGCUAACGCAUUAAGUAUUCCGCCUGGGGAGUACGACCGCAAGGUUGAAACUCAAAGGAAUUGACGGGGGCCCGCACAAGUGGUGGAGCAUGUGGUUUAAUUCGAUGCUACGCGAAGAACCUUACCAGCUCUUGACAUCUUCUGCCAACCCAAGAGAUUGGGCGUUCCCUUCGGGGACAGAAUGACAGGUGGUGCAUGGUUGUCGUCAGCUCGUGUCGUGAGAUGUUGGGUUAAGUCCCGCAACGAGCGCAACCCUUAUUAUUAGUUGCCAGCAUUUAGUUGGGCACUCUAGUGAGACUGCCGGUGAUAAA